Anopheles coluzzii is the source of this 1747-nucleotide long non-coding RNA. RefSeq lists it as uncharacterized. The transcript is spliced from 4 exons. NCBI's taxonomy places the organism in Eukaryota, Metazoa, Arthropoda, Insecta, Diptera, Culicidae. The record is from RefSeq and is a predicted model, not a curated record.
CGCAAAAAAUAUGUAAAAGAAGAGUAAUAGCAUCUGAAAAUAAACUCUUGGGCCAAUCAGUGACGGAGUUAUAAAACCAACUACAUCUAACAUUGCGUACCAGCAUGCAAAAUGUUCAGCUCGUGAUGAUACCCUAACUGUUAUAAAAACUCAAAUUAUUGCCACACAGCAGUAUAAAUAACCUGGCGACGUGAGUGUGAGAUUCUCUUGCCACAGCAAAAACAAGCUCACCAACAUCUUUCCACUCAACUCUUCGCGCCCAAGAUGGUUUUCAGUGCGAACACCCGUCAAGAACGCGUCUCUGCACGGUUUGCGUGUGGAUAAAAUUAUGACAUUCCGUGUACAUGCUCGGGUCUCCGUUGCUUAAUCGGUGUUCAAAUAUUUAUCAUUCCACAAGGAAGGCCACAUUUUCUCGGUAUCCAGGGCUGCACAGUCUUCGAGACUCGUCAUGCCGGGAAAAGGAGUUAGUCAACACAGGCAACACCACACCAACACGCAUAAGCAACGACCAAACGUACCACGGUGAUGACGUUGAUGCAUUCAUACUGGCCCAUCCGUGGUACCAGUGAAUAGCGUUUGAUUCAUCUGUGUACAUUAAGUUUAUUUAACCUUCCCCGUCAACUACCAUUCCCCGGGGUUCUUGGGUGUGUUCUACAAACCUUUCUUCGGUUAACCCUGUUUCCUUCUUGAAUUCCACCAUUAAAAUGUUCUUUCGCUCGCUGUUACCGACCUUAAACCGUACCUAAGAUAUAGACAAUCAGUGCGAUUGUACAGAUAACCCUCAGUCAGAUAGAAAAACAUUCAUAUCUGCCCCGAUAUGGUUCUUGGAGCACAAACCGGCAACCCACUCGAGGCGGCAUUUUGUCGCCUGUGCAAACAGAUAAAAUCGCACAGCGGACAACCGGCAGCCCGGAGAGCCCGGAGCACCUCUAAGACGAAGUGUUAGUUUCGGGCUUGCGGUCACCCCCUCCCGCACGAGCCACCGGGGUGAUGCAGUAUGCGGGCACGAUAUUCAUUACAAUUUUCCCUGUCUACUUCCUGCGAGCGCCUAUCGGGGCCGGCGGCCCAGGUUUUUACAGUAUCAGAACAUCAGUUUUGAACUGCGCGUGUCAGUUCGAUUACGGCCAGAGGCGCACAUGGUAUGCGGAUCUGUUGAGAAAGUGUUUUGUGCGGUGCAUUUUGAUCUUAAGUUGCGCAUGAUGGCAUCGAGGAAUUGCAACUUGUCCCCGGAUUGGGCAGCGCGACAGCGAAGUGCAUGUGCAGUGUGUAAAGAAGAAAACAUAUCCACAGCUUGGUGACCAGUCGGGUAAUCUAGUGACGAAAAUGGUGUGUUCAAGCCAUGCCACCAGGCGAACGACUUUCAGAAGCCCCUUUCGUGUUUGCGUGUGAUUUAUGGUGGCUCGUCGUCAAGAAGUCGAACAAAUUGAAAUGUUAGGAUGGAAUGUUUUUUAAGCACUUCAAGCGGCUUGGAAAAAUUGGUUCACAAAUCGUGCUGCCCGAUCUGACGUACAAUAAAAUGCUGCUACUGCUCGAAUUGGUCUGACGGUUAGCCGAAGCGUUACUAGCAUUACUCUUGCCGUUACCAUCGCUAUUUUUGCUUCCCUUCGGUUUGCGCUUACGAGACUGCAAAGGAAAAUGGAUUCAGUGGACGGUUCACGUUGUGCAGUUUGUAGUACAGUCCACACGCAUUGCAGACUGGUUCACCGACUUGAUUGCGGCGCCACAGCGAAGUGUUGGUUGUGUUGCA